RNAcentral lists this long non-coding RNA (2331 nucleotides) under Sus scrofa (pig). RNAcentral describes it as "lncRNA (ENSSSCG00025041140.1)". The record is from RNAcentral. Lineage: Eukaryota; Metazoa; Chordata; Mammalia; Artiodactyla; Suidae.
UGGCAUGUGGAAGUUCCCAGUUAAGGAGUUGAAUCAGAGCUGCAGGUGCAGGCCUACACCACAGCCAAACCAACUCAGAAUCUGAGCUCUGUCUGCGACCUAUACCACAGCUCACAGCCACGCCAGAUCCUUAAUCCACUGAAAGAGGCCAGGGAUCAAACCUGCAUCUUCAUGUAUACUAGUCAGGUUCUUAACCUGCUGAGCCACAACGGGAACUCCAAUAAGAUUGUUUUCAUAACACACAUUUGUUCACUAUUAUUAAAAGUUCUUAAUGUACUUCAAUGAUAACACAAAAUGGUAUAGACAGUGUCAGUGCCAUUAAGAAACAGAAAUAAGUUAUUUUUAAAUAUUACAGUGUAAAUGUCUGUUUCAUACAUUUUACAUAUGCGUAUUUCCAGUGCCCUCCAGCCAAAGCCACCAGAACUAUACUUGCAGGUGAACAAGCUGCGUUUAUUACUCAUUCAAGGAGAAAGACCACACACCAUGGGAACUGGGGAAGGAGGCUCAGUGAGAGGGUUAGAACCGACCAUAGGAUUUGGGCUUUGAUUUGGUGAUUUGGACACGAAUCUAAAGGAGAGAUUCUCUCUACAUUGGAUGCUGUCAGGGUCAAGCUUGGGAUGGGGUAUUCCAGUACAUCUCAUCAGUGGGGACAGCCAGCCAGAGUGAAGAUGAACUUGGAUUUGUUAAAGAGUGAUCACUCGUGUUGGCCAGGGCACAGUAGUUAUUCUGCACGUGGUACAGUGAUCUUGUUCUUGUCUAUGCUUAGACAAAUUUGUAAAGGGGGCUUGCUUGAUCUCACUUUAUCACGGGCUCAGAGUAACCCUGUCUGAGGUUGGUGCUCUGUGAGAUUGUGUUAAAUCCAACAGGAGAAUAACACACCCCUGCUGGAUAGGUCAGGUCAGGGCUGCACUUUCUGCUUUCCUGGUACUUUACAAAACACAGACCUCAGAGACAUAGCAGGCUCAAUUUCAGACCACCGCAAUAAAGGGAAAGUUGCAAUAAAGCAAGUCACAUGAAUUUUUUGGCUUCCCAAUACAUAUAAACAUUAUGUUUAUACCAUACAGGAAAGUGUGCAAUAACACUGUAUCUAAAAAAAGCAAUGUACAUAUCUUACUUAAGAAAUAAUUUGACAUUCCCACCAAGAGUAUAGGAGGGGUCCCUUUUCUCCACACUUUCUCUAGCAUUUGUUAUUUACAGACUUACUUAUUAAUGAUGGCCAUUCUGAUUGGUUUGAGUACCUCACUGUAGUUUGGAUUUGCAUAUCUCUAAUAAUUAGUAAUGUUGAGCAUCUUUUCAUGUGCCUGGCCCUCUGUCAUUGGAGAAAUGUCUAUUUAGGUCUUCUGCCCAAUUAUUGAUUGGAUUGGAUUUUUUUAAUAUGGAGCUAUAUAAGCUGUUUGUAUAUUUUAGAAAUUAAUCCCUUGCCAAUCGCAUCAUUCUGUAGUUUGUCUUUUCUUUUUUUAUGGUUUCUUUUUCUGUGCAAAAGCCUAUAAGUUUAAUUAGGUCCCAGUGUAGAGGUUCCUUUAAAAAUAGAGUUACCAUAUGAUUCCAGCAAUACCACUCCUGGGCAUAUAUCCAGAAAAGACAAAAACUCUAAUUCAAAAAGAUACCUGCACCCUAAUGUUCAUAGCUGCAAUAUUUACAAUAGCCAAGACAUGGAUGCAACCAAAAGUCCACUGACAGAUGAAUGCAUAAAGAAGAUGUGAUGUGUGUGUGUACAAUGAAAUAUUAAUUAGCUAUAAAAAGAGUGAAAUAAUGCCAUUUGCCAUUUUGGAUGGACCUAUAAAUCAUCAUACUAAGUGAAGUAAGUCAGAGAGAGAAAGGCAAAUAUCAUAUAAUAUCACUUAUAUGUAGAAUCUAAAAAAAAAGACACAAAUGAACUUAUUUACAAAAUAGACUCACCAAACAUAGAAAACAAACUUAUAGUUACAAAAGGGGAAAAGGGGGAGUGAGAGAUAAAUUAGGAAUUUGGGAUUAACACUCUAUAUAAAAUAAACAGUAAGUUCCUACUACACAGCACAAGGAACUAUAUGCAACAGCUUGUAACAUAACCUAUAAUGGAAAAGAAUCUGAAGAAGAAUAUAUACAUAUAUAUAUGUAUGCAAAACUGAAUCACUCUGCUGAAUACCUGAAAUGUUGUAAAUCAACUACAUUUCAGUUUUUUAAAAAAGAAAUACGUGGUUGCUAAAAAAUGCUCUGAGUUCCCUUUGUGGCACAGCAGAAACAUAUCCAACUAGUAUCCAUGAGGUUGUAGGUUCGAUCCCUGGCCUUGCUCAGUGAGUCGGGGAUCUGGUGUUGCCAUGAGCUGUGUAGAACUUCAACUUAACUCAGUUA